UAAAUCCUGAAGCAUACGAUACGGCUUACUUAAAUUCAACCGACAAAUGUUAAACGGGAGAUCGAGUCUAAUUACAGAUAAUAGGCCUUAAACUUUUAAGGAAAUUAGAAGUAAUUAGCAGAUCACCCACCUGGGAGUAUCUCGGGUCUGAAUUUAUGGAGCCACCGAUGUUUUGGGUUUAUA
RNAcentral lists this non-coding RNA (183 nucleotides) under Romboutsia sp. CE17. RNAcentral's name for it is "6S / SsrS RNA". It matches the Rfam family "6S / SsrS RNA". From Rfam's summary of the family: E. coli 6S RNA was the first non coding RNA to be sequenced, but its function was unknown until recently. It consists of 184 nucleotides that fold into an extended hairpin structure with a large single-stranded internal bulge. The 6S RNA specifically associates with RNA polymerase holoenzyme containing the sigma70 specificity factor. The record is from Rfam by way of RNAcentral. Lineage: Bacteria; Bacillati; Bacillota; Clostridia; Peptostreptococcales; Peptostreptococcaceae.